This 220-nucleotide long non-coding RNA is filed under the name Marmota marmota marmota (Alpine marmot). Its description in RNAcentral is "lncRNA (ENSMMMG00000012268.1)". Lineage: Eukaryota; Metazoa; Chordata; Mammalia; Rodentia; Sciuridae. The record is from RNAcentral.
GGUGACCGCGCGACUCGGCGCCCGCCCGCGGAUAGAGGGGAGCAAUCAGCAGCUUGGAAAUUCAGUCAAGUGAUCUGGCGGGAUGGGCAUUUGCCUGACAUAUUUUAUAGAGGAAUUGGAUGGCAUAAGUGAUUAAGGUGGUAUUCAGGGUUUCUGAAGCCUGUGAAAGGUAGAAACUCAACCAUGAUUUCUUUUUCAACUCUACAGCAUUCUCUUCCUU